This 22-nucleotide microRNA is filed under the name Aedes aegypti (yellow fever mosquito). RNAcentral's name for it is "aae-miR-11918". Lineage: Eukaryota; Metazoa; Arthropoda; Insecta; Diptera; Culicidae. The record is from miRBase by way of RNAcentral.
CAUGAACGACGACGUGACGCCG